Molecule: ribosomal RNA, 870 nt
Filed under: uncultured Limnohabitans sp.
Lineage: Bacteria; Pseudomonadati; Pseudomonadota; Betaproteobacteria; Burkholderiales; Comamonadaceae
Description: bacterial SSU rRNA
Rfam family: Bacterial small subunit ribosomal RNA
Source: RNAcentral
AGAGUUUGAUCAUGGCUCAGAUUGAACGCUGGCGGAAUGCUUUACACAUGCAAGUCGAACGGUAGAGGGGGCAACCCCUUGAGAGUGGCGAACGGGUGAGUAAUAUAUCGGAACGUGCCCAGUCGUGGGGGAUAACGUAGCGAAAGUUACGCUAAUACCGCAUACGAUCUAAGGAUGAAAGCGGGGGAUCGCAAGACCUCGCGCGAUUGGAGCGGCCGAUAUCAGAUUAGGUAGUUGGUGGGGUAAAGGCUCACCAAGCCAACGAUCUGUAGCUGGUCUGAGAGGACGACCAGCCACACUGGAACUGAGACACGGUCCAGACUCCUACGGGAGGCAGCAGUGGGGAAUUUUGGACAAUGGACGCAAGUCUGAUCCAGCCAUUCCGCGUGCAGGAUGAAGGCCCUCGGGUUGUAAACUGCUUUUGUACGGAACGAAAAGGUUUGUCUUAAUACGAUGAGCUCAUGACGGUACCGUAAGAAUAAGCACCGGCUAACUACGUGCCAGCAGCCGCGGUAAUACGUAGGGUGCAAGCGUUAAUCGGAAUUACUGGGCGUAAAGCGUGCGCAGGCGGUUAUGUAAGACAGAGGUGAAAUCCCCGGGCUCAACCUGGGAACUGCCUUUGUGACUGCAUAGCUAGAGUACGGUAGAGGGGGAUGGAAUUCCGCGUGUAGCAGUGAAAUGCGUAGAUAUGCGGAGGAACACCGAUGGCGAAGGCAAUCCCCUGGACCUGUACUGACGCUCAUGCACGAAAGCGUGGGGAGCAAACAGGAUUAGAUACCCUGGUAGUCCACGCCCGAAACGAUGUCAACUGGUUGUUGGGUCUUCACUGACUCAGUAACGAAGCUAACGCGUGAAGUUGACCGCCUGGGG